This 317-nucleotide RNase P RNA is filed under the name Flavobacterium sp. BFFFF2. RNAcentral describes it as "Bacterial RNase P class A". It matches the Rfam family "Bacterial RNase P class A". Rfam says of the family: Ribonuclease P (RNase P) is a ubiquitous endoribonuclease, found in archaea, bacteria and eukarya as well as chloroplasts and mitochondria. Its best characterised activity is the generation of mature 5'-ends of tRNAs by cleaving the 5'-leader elements of precursor-tRNAs. Lineage: Bacteria; Pseudomonadati; Bacteroidota; Flavobacteriia; Flavobacteriales; Flavobacteriaceae. The record is from Rfam by way of RNAcentral.
GCCGCAGACCGUCUUAUCGCUUGAUUCGUCAAGAGGAAAGUCCGGACACCAUAGAGUAGCGUAGCGGGUAACGCCCGUCACCAGCCUCCGGGUUGGGAGGACCAGUGCAACAGAAAGGAUGUACAGUUCGGCUGUAGUGAAAUCAGGUAAACUCUACGUGGUGCAAUGUCAAGUAUAUCAACAGCCAGUUUACUGGACAGAGCGACUCGCUCUGGUUGAAGGGUAGGCAGCUUGAUCACAAGAGUAAUUUUGUGGCUAGAUAAAUGAUAAGAACUUCUUCGGGGGUACAGAAUCCGGCUUACAGGUCUGCUUUUUUU